This 253-nucleotide ribosomal RNA is filed under the name uncultured bacterium. Its description in RNAcentral is "partial 16S ribosomal RNA". It matches the Rfam family "Bacterial small subunit ribosomal RNA", at positions 524 to 776 of the family's 1533-position model. The record is from RNAcentral.
UACAGAGACUGCAAGCGUUAUUCGGAUUCACUGGGCGUAAAGGGUGCGCAGGCGGAUUGUUAAGCAAGAUGUGAAAUCCCCGGGCUUAACCUGGGAAUGGCAUUUUGAACUGGCAAUCUAGAGUGUGUCAGAGGGGGGUAGAAUUCCACGUGUAGCAGUGAAAUGCGUAGAGAUGUGGAGGAAUACCGAUGGCGAAGGCAGCCCCCUGGGAUAACACUGACGCUCAUGUACGAAAGCGUGGGUAGCAAACAGG